UACGAAGGGGGCUAGCGUUGCUCGGAAUCACUGGGCGUAAAGCGCACGUAGGCGGCUUUCUAAGUCAGGGGUGAAAUCCUGGAGCUCAACUCCAGAACUGCCUUUGAUACUGGGAAGCUCGAGUCCGGAAGAGGUGAGUGGAACUCCGAGUGUAGAGGUGAAAUUCGUAGAUAUUCGGCGGAACACCAGUGGCGAAGGCGACUCACUGGCCCGAUACUGACGCUGAGGCGCGAAAGCGUGGGGAGCAAACAGG
Molecule: ribosomal RNA, 253 nt
Filed under: uncultured bacterium
Lineage: Bacteria
Description: partial 16S ribosomal RNA
Rfam family: Bacterial small subunit ribosomal RNA
Source: RNAcentral